UGGUGGAGUGAUUUGUCUGGUUAAUUCCGUCAACGAACGAGACCUCGACCUUGUUAAAUAGUUCGGCGUAUCCCUGUGAUACGUACGUGACUUCUUAGAGGGACUAUUGUGUGUGUAGCCAAUGGAAGUUCGAGGCAAUAACA
RNAcentral lists this ribosomal RNA (143 nucleotides) under uncultured eukaryote. RNAcentral describes it as "partial 18S ribosomal RNA". It matches the Rfam family "Eukaryotic small subunit ribosomal RNA", at positions 1299 to 1458 of the family's 1831-position model. The record is from RNAcentral.